This is a non-coding RNA of Salmo salar (Atlantic salmon), 802 nucleotides long. The record is from RefSeq and is a predicted model, not a curated record. Lineage: Eukaryota; Metazoa; Chordata; Actinopteri; Salmoniformes; Salmonidae.
CAUUGUCCCAAAGGUGGGAAGGCGUUUAUGUAAAAAAAUAGCCCAUACAUACUAACGCUUCGCAUCUUCCUCUCUGACCCUUCUCUGCGUGUGCAGGGUACAAUUUAUCCUAAAUAAAAUACUUUCGACCACUGGCGUCGGGUGCGCUUGCACUAGUGGCGAUCCGUCGUAUGAGCGUGGACCAAAGUGCUUAAAGGUAUGCCACCCUGUGCGCGCAUAAGAAAACGUUAUCCAUCACUCUGGCAACAUCUUUACUUUGGCCUCCGUCCCCGCAGGAGGCAUUUUGCCUUUUGACAAGAAACCUGGAGAAGAACCGUGGUGAAGGAGAAGGACUGUGGCCUGUCAUGGAAUAACAUUCCCAAAAAGACUGGAGAUCAGCAGCAGUGGUGCUCUCUCAUGGAAAACUUGUGUUCCACAUAGGAAUGAAGAGGAUUAAGUAUGAGUAUUUAUUCCAUAUCAACACUCAUCAACACUCACAAUGGACCCAGCAUCUGAUGAUUGAAGCCUCUAUGGCCGAAACGUGUCCAUUUUAACAUCAGAUGUAGCCUAAACACAGAACUGACAAAAGCCAUUCUAUGUUAAAAGAAGAAUAAAAGACACCUCUCAAUCAAGAUGAGUUUUCUUUAAUGGUAAUAGACAUACAUUAAGUGAAUUUAUGAUGAAACGUCAAAGCACACAUAAGCCAUCGGAAAUUACAAUAGGUUACAGUGCAUCCCACAAUUUCAAAAUAAGAGUCCACUCUUCCUAAGCGUUCUACGAUUAUGUCUCUACUAAAAGCUUGAGGUGUCAUUGAUGCAUGAGU